AUGGUGCCCAUGCCGCAGAUGGGGAGAGUGAGGAGGAGCCAUUCGCCGAAGUCGACAGACGUGCAUAGCAGCGCUGUUCAAACCUGGGCGGUCUGGAACCCUGAUGCACCCGCAAAGCUCCAGGGCCUGGCGGCUGGAGAUGCCCCAGCCUUGAAUGCAUCCAUCGCCGAGCUGGUGGCAGCGACCCCCCUCACUGGCUACCCACAUGCCCCCAGGGACAGCCUCCCUGACACAGCGGCAUGCCUCCUGGCAGGCCCACGGGGGACCUGGGGCCAGGGCUGCUCAGCCUGCCCACGUUCCUUGGAAAGGCUGUCACUGGCUUGGCCAGAUCCUCAUGUUCUCUGCCGGAGUGAAAACCAGCUCGUUCUGUCCAAGCCUGGAACCGGCCCAGGCUUCCAGGAGGAGGCCACGCCUGCCUGCCCUUGGCCAAGGGGAGCCAACAGACCUUCCUGGUUCCAGGGAACCCCAUGCUGUCUGCUUUGCCCGGAGGCCCUGCUCCCUCCCUUAGAGCAGGCUCACAGCCGCCUGGGUGUGGAAGGGGUGGCCGGGCCUCCCUUGGACAACGCUGGCUGGUUCUCUUCUCUGGCUGAGAGUCAGAGCCCGUGCCUGCCCCAACCCAGAAGCUUCCAGGAUGCUCUGCCUGAGCCAGGCCCUGGCCAGGGCCAGCGAAGGCCCCACCCUCCCGGGCAGGCAGGGCAGGGAGCUGAGCCCAGGACGUGGAUCAUGCAGGCUUGGAUUAGCCAAGGGCUGGCCGUGGCUCAGGGCCCUCAUUGGCCUCUCAGAGCCUGUUUCUUUCCUUGUGAGGUGGUGACAGUAGCCCUGAUGUCACAGGAUGGAGCAGGAUCACAUGAACAGCAAGUCCUGGCUCACAGCAGGCACACGCAGGGGUCAGGACGUUGGCCCGCACUCUUCCCUGGGGGAUGGUUGCUCAGGACCCAAGGCUGGCCUCCCUGCUGGCACCAGAACCCAGGGCCCCCUGGGCACAGGCCAGGGAAGGCUGAAAGGAGGGGUAGCCUAGCACAAUCCAGCAUGGACAGCCUCAGUGCCUGCCCCCAGCAGGGUCCCCAGCCCCUACUCCCACACCUUUGCUGGGCAGCAGGUCCCCCCACAGGAGUUCAAAGGCUGAUGGCCUUCCCUGAGGGUGCAAGGCUGGUUUUUGCAGAGUCCAGGUUGAGUGCUGGUGGCUUUGGGCAGUGGCUGGGGGCCCUGCAGAUGCUCUGUGGACACAGCCCAGUGGGCAGCACAGAGCCAGACCCUGCCCUGCCCUGCCCUGCCCCGCCUCGCCCCAUCCCACCUUGCCCUGCCAUCCCCAGGGUAAGGUCCCGCAGGCCACAGCCUCCUUGCCUAUAG
Molecule: long non-coding RNA, 1350 nt
Filed under: Papio anubis (olive baboon)
Lineage: Eukaryota; Metazoa; Chordata; Mammalia; Primates; Cercopithecidae
Description: lncRNA (ENSPANG00000043886.1)
Source: RNAcentral